GAUGAACGCUGGCGGCGUGCCUAAUACAUGCAAGUCGAGCGAACAGACGAGGAGCUUGCUCCUCUGACGUUAGCGGCGGACGGGUGAGUAACACGUGGAUAACCUACCUAUAAUACUGGGAUAACUUCGGGAAACCGGAGCUAAUACCGGAUAAUAUAUUGAACCGCAUGGUUCAAUAGUGAAAGACGGCUUUGCUGUCACUUAUAGAUGGUUCCGCGCCGCAUUAGCUAGUUGGUAAGGUAACGGCCUACCAAGGCAACGAUGCGUAGCCGACCUGAGAGGGUGAUCGGCCACACUGGAACUGAGACACGGUCCAGACUCCUACGGGAGGCAGCAGUAGGGAAUCUUCCGCAAUGGGCGAAAGCCUGACGGAGCAACGCCGCGUGAGUGAUGAAGGUCUUCGGAUCGUAAAACUCUGUUAUUAGGGAAGAACAAAUGUGUAAGUAACUAUGGACGUCUUGACGGUACCUAAUCAGAAAGCCACGGCUAACUACGUG
RNAcentral lists this ribosomal RNA (497 nucleotides) under uncultured bacterium. RNAcentral's name for it is "partial 16S ribosomal RNA". It matches the Rfam family "Bacterial small subunit ribosomal RNA", at positions 28 to 507 of the family's 1533-position model. The record is from RNAcentral.